GUAAUUAAGUGCAUGUGGUGGAUGCCUUGGCAGUCAGAGGCGAUGAAAGACGUGAUAGCCUGCGAAAAGCUCCGGGGAGGCGGCAAAUAUCCUUUGAUCCGGAGAUGUCUGAAUGGGGGAACCCACCUACUUUAAGGUAGGUAUUGCAACAUGAAUACAUAGUGUUGCAAGGCGAACGAGGGGAAGUGAAACAUCUCAGUACCCUUAGGAAAAGAAAUCAAUUGAGAUUCCCUCAGUAGCGGCGAGCGAACGGGGAUCAGCCCAUUAAGUUAUGUGUGUUUUAGUGGAACGCUCUGGGAAGUGCGAACGUAGAGGGUGAUAUUCCCGUACACGAAAGGGCACACAUAAUGAUGACGAGUAGGGCGAGGCACGUGAAACCUUGUCUGAAUAUGGGGGGACCAUCCUCCAAGGCUAAAUACUCCUGACUGACCGAUAGUGAACCAGUACCGUGAGGGAAAGGCGAAAAGAACCCCUGUGAGGGGAGUGAAAUAGAUCCUGAAACCGCAUGCAUACAAGCAGUGGGAGCACCUUCGUGGUGUGACUGCGUACCUUUUGUAUAAUGGGUCAGCGACUUAUAUUCAGUAGCGAGGUUAACCGUAUAGGGGAGCCGUAGAGAAAUCGAGUCUUAAUAGGGCGUUUAGUUGCUGGGUAUAGACCCGAAACCAGGCGAUCUAUCCAUGAGCAGGUUGAAGGUUGGGUAACACUAACUGGAGGACCGAACCCACUGUCGUUGAAAAGCCAGGGGAUGACUUGUGGAUAGGGGUGAAAGGCUAAUCAAGCCUGGUGAUAGCUGGUUCUCCCCGAAAGCUAUUUAGGUAGCGCCUCGGACGAAUACCAUAGGGGGUAGAGCACUGUUUCGGCUAGGGGGUCAUCCCGACUUACCAAACCGAUGCAAACUCCGAAUACCUAUGAGUACUAUCCGGGAGACAGACUGCGGGUGCUAACGUCCGUAGUCAAGAGGAAAACAAUCCAGACCGCCAGCUAAGGCCCCAAAAUCAUAGUUAAGUGGGAAACGAUGUGGGAAGGCAUAGACAGCUAGGAGGUUGGCUUAGAAGCAGCCACCCUUUAAAGAAAGCGUAAUAGCUCACUAGUCGAGUCGGCCUGCGCGGAAGAUGUAACGGGGCUAAAACUAUGUGCCGAAGCUGCGGAUGUAUACUUUGUAUACGUGGUAGGGGAGCGUUCUGUAAGCCGAUGAAGGUGUGUUGAGAAGCAUGCUGGAGGUAUCAGAAGUGC
Molecule: ribosomal RNA, 1233 nt
Filed under: Acinetobacter baumannii
Lineage: Bacteria; Pseudomonadati; Pseudomonadota; Gammaproteobacteria; Moraxellales; Moraxellaceae
Description: partial 23S ribosomal RNA
Rfam family: Bacterial large subunit ribosomal RNA
Source: RNAcentral